AACACAACAACGAACUGACGUGGCGGCGGCCUACACAUGCAAGUCGAGCGGAGAGAGGUAGCUUGCUACUGAUCUUAGCGGGGACGUGAGUAAUGCUUAGGAAUCUGCCUAUUAGUGGGGGACAACAUUUCGAAAGGAAUGCUAAUACCGCAUACGUCCUACGGGAGAAAGCAGGGGAUCUUCGGACCUUGCGCUAAUAGAUGAGCCUAAGUCGGAUUAGCUAGUUGGUGGGGUAAAGGCCUACCAAGGCGACGAUCUGUAGCGGGUCUGAGAGGAUGAUCCGCCACACUGGGACUGAGACACGGACCAGACUCCUACGGGAGGCAGCAGUGGGGAAUAUUGGACAAUGGGCGCAAGCCUGAUCCAGCCAUGCCGAGUGUGUGACAGAAGGCCUUAUGGUUGUAAAGCACUUUAAGCGAGGAGGAGGCUACUUUACGUUAAUUACCUAGAGAUAGUGGAAGUUAACUCGCAGAAUAAGCACCGGCUAACUCUGUGCCAGCAGCCGCGGUAAUACAGAGGGUGCAAGCGUUACAUCGGAUUAACUGGGCGUAAAGCGCGCGUAAGCGGCUAAUAAGGGCAAUGUAAAAUCCCGAGCUAACUUGGGAAUGGCAUCGAUCUGGGAAGCCAAAGCGGCGCCAGAUGGACAAUCCCAGUUGUGCGGGAAUGGUAGAGAACGAGGAUACGAUGCGACGCGCAUUGGCCAAAUACUG
Molecule: ribosomal RNA, 710 nt
Filed under: uncultured Acinetobacter sp.
Lineage: Bacteria; Pseudomonadati; Pseudomonadota; Gammaproteobacteria; Moraxellales; Moraxellaceae
Description: bacterial SSU rRNA
Rfam family: Bacterial small subunit ribosomal RNA
Source: RNAcentral